This 425-nucleotide ribosomal RNA is filed under the name uncultured bacterium. Its description in RNAcentral is "partial 16S ribosomal RNA". It matches the Rfam family "Bacterial small subunit ribosomal RNA", at positions 354 to 796 of the family's 1533-position model. The record is from RNAcentral.
GUGGGGAAUCUUGCGCAAUGGGCGAAAGCCUGACGCAGCCAUGCCGCGUGAAUGAUGAAGGUCUUAGGAUUGUAAAAUUCUUUCACCGGGGACGAUAAUGACGGUACCCGGAGAAGAAGCUCCGGCUAACUUCGUGCCAGCAGCCGCGGUAAUACGAAGGGGGCUAGCGUUGCCCGGAAUUACUGGGCGUAAAGGGCGCGUAGGCGGACAGCUUAGUCAGAGGUGAAAGCCCAGGGCUCAACCUUGGAAUUGCCUUUGAUACUGGCUGUCUUUAGUUUGAGAGAGGUGAGUGGAACUCCGAGUGUAGAGGUGAAAUUCGUAGAUAUUCGGAAGAACACCAGUGGCGAAGGCGACUCACUGGCCCAAUACUGACGCUGAGGCGCGAAAGCGUGGGGAGCAAACAGGAUUAGAAACCCGAGUAGUCC